CUGUUUUUCAGGUUAAAACUUCCCCAAAGUUCACUAAAACUUAUUUUGGUUCAAAAGUAAUACUGGAAUGUUUUGACUUCCUUCAUUAAUCUUCGGUGUGAACAGUAUCUGCUAGUUAUACUGUAGAUUUCCUCCUGUCUAAUACAUGAAUUUUGUUGAAGAGUAUCUCUAGCAUGGAAAUUCUCAUCAUAACACUCCUGUGGUAAAUCCAAAACUAAAGGAAAAUAGCAUUCUAUUUUUAUUAAAAUGCUUGCUUUAUCAAAACAAUGUAUUACUUAAUGACAGUAACAGACACAGUUCUGAUAAUCAUCAAUUAGAUAAUUUUUUUAUGUAUUUUCCAGGAAAGAGUAUGUUAAAAUCAGUCUUCCCCAAUAACUUUAUUGAAGUUAAUGAUGGCCAGAUUUCUCUUGCUGAAUGCCCUCCAGAUGAUAUCCAGGCAAAAGAGCUGACUCCCGAAGUACUACAUAAGAGCAUGGACUCUCCAUCCUCCACCAACAUCAGUUGGAACCACCCACCCAGAAUGGAAGAGAAUCAAUUGUCAGAAUUCUUAGAACUGGCCAUGUUUUGAGAUUUGGGAGAAUUGAAGUCUACAUACCUGGAAAUAUCCAACACAAGAAGAAGGUGUUACUUCAUAUUCAAUGAUAAGAUUGUCAACUGUCCAGAGCCUUUGGGAAUCCACUGCAUGCAAAUAAAAUAAAAUGAACCAAUAGUGGAUCCUUCUGCUGGAGCAGAGUUCGACCAGUGAUCUCUCAGUGCUCCAUUCCAACUCUAUAAUCCUGUCGUUAUUUCUCUGAAAGACAAGAAUACCCUGAAUAACAGUUUACACUGAAGCGAAGUGUAUUCUGUAUUUCCUUCUUAUUCAUUACACAGAAAUAAACUUUGUGGAUGUGAAUAGUGAAA
This is a long non-coding RNA of Pantherophis guttatus, 900 nucleotides long. RefSeq lists it as uncharacterized. The record is from RefSeq and is a predicted model, not a curated record. Lineage: Eukaryota; Metazoa; Chordata; Lepidosauria; Squamata; Colubridae.